UGGAUUCUGCACCAUCAUAGUUGGCUUCUU
This 30-nucleotide non-coding RNA is filed under the name Mus musculus (house mouse). Lineage: Eukaryota; Metazoa; Chordata; Mammalia; Rodentia; Muridae. The record is from RNAcentral.